This 467-nucleotide ribosomal RNA is filed under the name uncultured bacterium. RNAcentral's name for it is "partial 16S ribosomal RNA". It matches the Rfam family "Bacterial small subunit ribosomal RNA", at positions 28 to 507 of the family's 1533-position model. The record is from RNAcentral.
GACGAACGCUGGCGGCGUGCUUAACACAUGCAAGUCGAACGGAAAGGCCCUGCUUUUGUGGGGUGCUCGAGUGGCGAACGGGUGAGUAACACGUGAGUAACCUGCCCUUGACUUUGGGAUAACUUCAGGAAACUGGGGCUAAUACCGGAUAGGAGCUCCUGCUGCAUGGUGGGGGUUGGAAAGUUUCGGCGGUUGGGGAUGGACUCGCGGCUUAUCAGCUUGUUGGUGGGGUAGUGGCUUACCAAGGCUUUGACGGGUAGCCGGCCUGAGAGGGUGACCGGCCACAUUGGGACUGAGAUAAGCCCAGACUCCUACGGGAGGCAGCAGUGGGGAAUAUUGCACAAUGGGCGGAAGCCUGAUGCAGCAACGCCGCGUGCGGGAUGACGGCCUUCGGGUUGUAAACCGCUUUCGCCUGUGACGAGGCGUGAGUGACGGUAAUGGGUAAAGAAGCACCGGCUAACUACGUG